GAUAAUCAAAAAGUUGAUCCUACAAAAACAAAAAGAAAAAACAACCUCCGCCUUAUAUACGACCGACAGGUAUUCAUAUAUCUGAGGGUUGAUUUGCUGAUGCGCAAGCAUGACUCUCAUAUUCUAGGUCGUCGCAGUAUUCGGUUCCUCCUUCUAUACAUGUGGGUCCACUUCAUGGGACUAGAGCGACUCAUUUUGCUCUCAUCCCCAUGCCACCGCCAUCACGGUACUAUCAGAUAACCACUGGCACAUCCAGGCAUCUACCAUCGUCUGUAGUACCCUCUGCUAGCAGUCACCCACGUUCUCACAGUGAUUAUGCUGGAUCUAUUGGGUUGACGAGUCUUCAUCUUUGAGGCACUCCAUCCGAUGCUUCAAAUCCACCCAUGCCAGUGCAUCCACCGACACUUGUUCAGUAGCUCGGAGACAGAGAUGAUUAUCAGAGGCGGUAUAUUAUACCAUAUGGAAUAGGGUUUAAGCCCGAUGCUGGAGUUAAAAAAAUUAUGACUAAAUGCAUUAGUCAAAACUUCAAUGGCUAUUGAACCAGUUGCCAAAAGGUUCCAGAAUAUGACAGAGAAAAGAUAUUUAAAGAAUUUCAUAAAUAUUACUGGUGGGAUGACGCGCAUGAAAGUGCUAUACGGAGGAAUUUUUAUAGAAGAGCUAGAGCCAGAUUGAACGGUCUGUUGGAUUAUGCCAGAACGAACAGGGUACAACCAGGGUUUAUACUAGACUCAUGUGGCAAGAUUAUAUUCGCUAUUGGAAUAGCGAUGAAUACAAAUUGUUGAGUGAGAAAGGAAAGAAAGUCAGGGCAUCAUCCAAGGGUGGCUCACUACAUACUACGGGUGCAGUUAGUCGAAUUACUGUGGAGAAAAAAAUGAAAAAAAUUGGGUAGGAAGGUAAGACACGAUGAGAUAUUCGAGGAGAAGUAUGUGAGGAAGAAAAAGAACCCAACUGAUGAAGAUAUCUGGGUUGAGCCUCGUGCAAAAGCUGCCCAUGACAAAUAUAUGCAGCUCGUUAAUGAGUAUGUAGUACUCAGUCUCCUGAAAGUCAAGGUGACACAAUACCUGAAGAUGUAGAGGAGGAGUUAUGGCAAGAAACUAUGGGUCCUCCAGUUAGAGGACAAUACUACGGAUAACACAGAAAGUAUUUUGGCGAGAAUGUUAGGUCUUUAGCCGGGCCUACAUCCUAUCCCUUAUUAGUAGAUAGAGAAACCGUUGAAGCACUAAGAAAUACAAUUUCUAAACUCACUGAAGAGUUUAUUGCACAGUGAGAGAGGGCGAAGGAGAAGGAGGAGGAAACAACAUCACAAAUCAUGAUGUUGCUGUAGCAGUUCAACUCUUUUAUUCGAUUUACAGGGAUUCUUCCUCCAUGUCCUGGUGAUGCAGUUUGGGAUGCAAAAGGUCCAGGCCCACUGGAUGAUAUCAGCACAGAUGAGGAAUCAGAUCCUAUGUGUGCGACUGAGGAUGCGGAUGAAGAAGACGAUGAUAAUGAGUGGUAGUUUUUUGACUUUUGUAUGUGUUGUAGUUUGAAUUUGGAGAUGAGUUGUAGUUUUUACACUUUUUUAUGUUUUGUAUGUUUUUAGUCUUGUAUUGUAUGUUGGUUGUUUGAAUGGAAUGUAACAUAUAUAUUGUAUGCUCAUUUGUUUGGUUGGUUGAUGGAAUGUAGCAUAUAUAAGUCUUUUAUUUUUAAAAAAAAAUUACCAGAAAAAACGAUCGCAGGUGGUUGGUUUUCAGGAAAAUUUUAUAAAAACCGACCACAUG
This is a long non-coding RNA of Capsicum annuum, 1757 nucleotides long. RefSeq lists it as uncharacterized. The transcript is spliced from 5 exons. The record is from RefSeq and is a predicted model, not a curated record. NCBI's taxonomy places the organism in Eukaryota, Viridiplantae, Streptophyta, Magnoliopsida, Solanales, Solanaceae.